RNAcentral lists this long non-coding RNA (652 nucleotides) under Manduca sexta (tobacco hornworm). Its description in RNAcentral is "uncharacterized LOC115441870, transcript variant X2". The record is from RNAcentral. Lineage: Eukaryota; Metazoa; Arthropoda; Insecta; Lepidoptera; Sphingidae.
AUUGCAGACGAUUGGUGGGUGUGUGUAUGUUAUCUGAUUUAUAUCGGUGGCAUUCGAUGCAUGGAUGAACUAAAUACUUUAGGCCUUGCGACUAAUGACUGCAGAUUAAGAAAAUUUAAAUAUUAGACAAUUGAAUACCUAAUUGAAAAUGGUGUUAUUUAGAAAGUUUUAAUUGCGGUUUUCAUAUAUCUGACAAUAUGAAGAAAAAAACGGACAAGUGGAAUUUGGACUCGCGCCCCGAGGAUCCUAUAUAAACUGGCACAAACAGGACUUCAAAAUACAUUUAUCCCUUGCUAUAUAGGGAUUACGUAUUCCAUAAUUUGAGUGAGAGGGGAAAAGAAAUGUUUUACGCGAUUAAUAUACAUCCCUCUUGCGUGGAAAAGAAAGGUCACUGCAUACCAAGGGCGAAAUGUGUGGGCAGGACAAUGCUGUAUAUAUCUCGUAUUUGUUACAAGAGAGAUUUGGUGUGUUGUUAUGAUAACUCUAUUAAGUUUCCUGUUGUAGCAGAACACAGUUACACUACUGUCUCCACGGAAUAUACAACAGUUUUAGGACCAUAAGGGCGUUUUUUGUAUAAGUUUUAAUGUCCGUGGAACGCGACUAUUUUACCAUUUUUGUUGAAUUAUUUAAAUAAAUAAAAUAUAAAUUUUAA